Long non-coding RNA from Oreochromis niloticus (Nile tilapia), 411 nucleotides. RefSeq lists it as uncharacterized. Lineage: Eukaryota; Metazoa; Chordata; Actinopteri; Cichliformes; Cichlidae. The transcript is spliced from 3 exons. The record is from RefSeq and is a predicted model, not a curated record.
CCUGAAGAGAGAAAAUUCAGAAGUUACUGAAAAUGGUUGUUACAGUUUCAGUGUCUUUUUAUAUAGGAGGAGGAGCUGAUGCAAACUAUGAUCUCUACCAUGUUUGAAGACAUGAUGCAGAAUAUAAGACGGGGAAUACAUGAUUAACCACCACUGUACACAGAGCAGAGACAAAUGGCCUUGACAAUGAAUCAUCCUAAAUUCAUGGUUGUUUUUCUUAUCAUUUCAAUUUACUGGGCUGGUACUGAGGGUCAAACACUGACUGAGUCUGAAUCAGUGAUUAAAAGGCCUGGAGACUCCCAAAGACUGACCUGUACAUACUCAGGGUUCAGUGGUGAUCAUAGUAAUGCUUGGAUCAGACAGGCUGCUGGAAAAGGACUGGAAUGGAUCGCUUUGAUCAGCAGUGGCAGU